CCUUUGUACACACCGCCCGUCGCUACUACCGAUUGAAUGGCUCAGUGAGGCCUUGGGACUGGCUUUGGGGAGCCGGCAACGGCACUCUAUUGCUGAGAAGCUGAUCAAACUUGGUCAUUUAGAGG
RNAcentral lists this ribosomal RNA (125 nucleotides) under Agaricales sp. RNAcentral's name for it is "partial small subunit ribosomal RNA". It matches the Rfam family "Eukaryotic small subunit ribosomal RNA", at positions 1657 to 1779 of the family's 1831-position model. The record is from RNAcentral. Lineage: Eukaryota; Fungi; Basidiomycota; Agaricomycetes; Agaricales.